This 530-nucleotide long non-coding RNA is filed under the name Vulpes vulpes (red fox). RNAcentral's name for it is "lncRNA (ENSVVUG00000006958.1)". The record is from RNAcentral. Lineage: Eukaryota; Metazoa; Chordata; Mammalia; Carnivora; Canidae.
AUGGGAGCAAAAUGGGAAUCUCAAAGGACCCACGGCCAAAGCACCAAAUUUGUGACGGAACCGCGGCCCCUCCUUCCCACUGACCAUCAUAUUCAACGUGAAGUCGUGAAGACCAAACACUGCUGUAAUGUUUCAGAGUAUCAUUUGAUGAAAUUGUCUGAAUUUUCAACUGUCUACAGAGAGCCUUCUGGGUACCAGGUACUAAACUAAAUGUUCCAGAGACAGAGACCACCACCAGCACCUACGAAAGUGUCAGAGCAGAGCCCUGAGCCACGUGAGGAAGCCAGUGAUGGGGAGAGCCCUCCCGACAGAAGCAGCAGCAUGGAUUCGUGAGUCUGGGGAAAUUAGCAGGGGAUGGCAAUGGAUGAUGAGGUCAGAAAGAUGCCUGGGCCAGAUGAAGUAGGGCUGUGUUGGGGAGGGGGUCCCCAAGUCUACUCCCAGGUUCAGUGAUUCACAGGAGGACCCACAGACCCAGCAUGUGGGUCCACAGCUACGAUGUAUUACACCGAAAGGAUCCCAAGCAAAAUUAC